RNAcentral lists this ribosomal RNA (683 nucleotides) under uncultured bacterium. RNAcentral describes it as "bacterial SSU rRNA". It matches the Rfam family "Bacterial small subunit ribosomal RNA", at positions 183 to 851 of the family's 1533-position model. The record is from RNAcentral.
GGGGCUAUGGCCCUUACAAAGAAAGGCGCUGCAAGGCGUCGCCAGAAGAUGAGUCCGCCCCCCAUUAGCUAGUUGGCGGGAUAACAGCCCACCAAGGCUUCGAUGGGUAGCCGAGCUGAGAGGUUGAUCGGCCACACUGGGACUGAGACACGGCCCAGACACCUACGGGUGGCAGCAGUAGGGAAUAUUGGACAAUGGGCGAAAGCCUGAUCCAGCCAUGCCGCGUGAGUGAUGAAGGCCUUCGGGUCGUAAAGCUCUUUUAUGAGGGAAGAACCGCCCGGGUAGGAAAUGCCCCGGGUCUGACGGUACCUCAGGAAUAAGCAACGGCUAACUCCGUGCCAGCAGCCGCGGUAAUACGGAGGUUGCAAGCGUUGUUCGGAAUGACUGGGCGUAAAGGGAGCGCAGGCGGUUCGAUAAGUCUAAAGUGGAAGCCCGGGGCUUAACCUCGGAAGUGCUUUGGAUACUGUCGAACUCGAGUUCGUGAGAGGAGAGCGGAAUUCCAGGUGUAGCGGUGAAAUGCGUAGAUAUCUGGAGGAACGCCGGUGGCGAAAGCGGCUCUCUGGCACGAUACUGACGCUGAGGCUCGAAAGCAUGGGGAGCGAACAGGAUUAGAUACCCUGGUAGUCCAUGCUGUAAACGUUGUGCAACUAGUGUGGGAGGUAUCGACCCCCUUCGUGCCGCAG